RNAcentral lists this ribosomal RNA (2114 nucleotides) under Limnohabitans sp. MMS-III-59. RNAcentral describes it as "bacterial LSU rRNA". It matches the Rfam family "Bacterial large subunit ribosomal RNA", at positions 543 to 2656 of the family's 2925-position model. The record is from RNAcentral. Lineage: Bacteria; Pseudomonadati; Pseudomonadota; Betaproteobacteria; Burkholderiales; Comamonadaceae.
AUAGAUCCUGAAACCGCAUGCUUACAAAAAGUAGGAGCCUCGAAAGGGGUGACUGCGUACCUUUUGUAUAAUGGGUCAGCGACUUACAUUCAGUGGCAAGGUUAACCGAAUAGGGAAGCCGUAGAGAAAUCGAGUCCGAAUAGGGCGAUCAGUCGCUGGGUGUAGACCCGAAACCAAGUGAUCUAUCCAUGGGCAGGAUGAAGGUGCCGUAACAGGUACUGGAGGUCCGAACCGACUAAUGUUGCAAAAUUAGCGGAUGACCUGUGGAUAGGGGUGAAAGGCUAAACAAACUUGGAAAUAGCUGGUUCUCUCCGAAAACUAUUUAGGUAGUGCCUCAAGUAUUACCAUCGGGGGUAGAGCACUGUUUUGGCUAGGGGGGUCAUGGCGACUUACCAAACCAAGGCAAACUCCGAAUACCGAUGAGUACAGCUUGGGAGACAGAGCACCGGGUGCUAACGUCCGGACUCAAGAGGGAAACAACCCAGACCGCCAGCUAAGGUCCCUAAAAUUGGCUAAGUGGGAAACGAAGUGGGAAGGCUAAAACAGUCAGGAUGUUGGCUUAGAAGCAGCCAUCAUUUAAAGAAAGCGUAAUAGCUCACUGAUCGAGUCGUCCUGCGCGGAAGAUGUAACGGGGCUAAGCCAGUUACCGAAGCUGCGGAUUUGCAAUUUAUUGCAAGUGGUAGGAGAGCGUUCUGUAGGCCUGUGAAGGUGGUGGUGUAAACCCUGCUGGAGGUAUCAGAAGUGCGAAUGCUGACAUGAGUAGCGUUAAAGGGGGUGAAAAGCCCCCUCGCCGUAAGCGCAAGGUUUUCUACGCAACGUUCAUCGGCGUAGAGUGAGUCGGCCCCUAAGGCGAGGCAGAGAUGCGUAGCUGAUGGGAAACAGGUCAAUAUUCCUGUACCGAUGACAAGUGCGAUGUGGGGACGGAGAAGGUUAGCUCAGCCAACUGUUGGAUAUGUUGGUUCAAGCCUGUAGUCGUGCUCGGUAGGCAAAUCCGCCGGGCUUAGAUGAGGGGUGAUAACGAGGGUGCUUGCACCUGAAGUGAGUGAUACCCUGCUUCCAGGAAAAGCCACUAAGCUUCAGCUUGUCAUUGACCGUACCGCAAACCGACACUGGUGCGCGAGAUGAGUAUUCUAAGGCGCUUGAGAGAACUCAGGAGAAGGAACUCGGCAAAUUGAUACCGUAACUUUCGGGAGAAGGUAUGCCCCUAUUAGGUGAACUUGAACAAAGGGAGCCGAACGGGGUUGCAAAAAAUCGGUGGCUGCGACUGUUUAAUAAAAACACAGCACUCUGCAAACACGAAAGUGGACGUAUAGGGUGUGACGCCUGCCCGGUGCUGGAAGAUUAAAUGAUGGGGUGCAAGCUCUUGAUUGAAGUCCCAGUAAACGGCGGCCGUAACUAUAACGGUCCUAAGGUAGCGAAAUUCCUUGUCGGGUAAGUUCCGACCUGCACGAAUGGCGUAACGAUGGCCACACUGUCUCCUCCUGAGACUCAGCGAAGUUGAAAUGUUUGUGAUGAUGCAAUCUCCCCCGCGGAAAGACGGAAAGACCCCAUGAACCUUUACUGUAGCUUUGUAUUGGACUUUGAACAGAUCUGUGUAGGAUAGGUGGGAGGCUUUGAAGCGAGGUCGCUAGAUCUCGUGGAGCCAACGUUGAAAUACCACCCUGGUGUGUUUGAGGUUCUAACCUAGGUCCAUUAUCUGGAUCGGGGACAGUGCAUGGUAGGCAGUUUGACUGGGGGCGGUCUCCUCCCAAAGCGUAACGGAGGAGUUCGAAGGUACGCUAGUUACGGUCGGACAUCGUGAUGAUAGUGCAAUGGCAUAAGCGUGCUUAACUGCGAGACUGACAAGUCGAGCAGAUACGAAAGUAGGACAUAGUGAUCCGGUGGUUCUGUAUGGAAGGGCCAUCGCUCAACGGAUAAAAGGUACUCUGGGGAUAACAGGCUGAUACCGCCCAAGAGUUCAUAUCGACGGCGGUGUUUGGCACCUCGAUGUCGGCUCAUCUCAUCCUGGGGCUGUAGCCGGUCCCAAGGGUAUGGCUGUUCGCCAUUUAAAGAGGUACGUGAGCUGGGUUUAAAACGUCGUGAGACAGUUUGGUCCCUAUCUUCCGUGGGCGCUG